This 60-nucleotide small nuclear RNA is filed under the name Otolemur garnettii (small-eared galago). RNAcentral's name for it is "U7 small nuclear RNA". It matches the Rfam family "U7 small nuclear RNA". From Rfam's summary of the family: Animal histone pre-mRNAs are spliced by a different mechanism than nuclear pre-mRNAs and self-splicing introns. This processing involves the U7 snRNP, which contains only one RNA species: U7. The 5' end of U7 RNA is thought to base-pair to a conserved spacer element downstream of the cleavage site in histone pre-mRNA. The record is from Rfam by way of RNAcentral. Lineage: Eukaryota; Metazoa; Chordata; Mammalia; Primates; Galagidae.
AAGUGUUAUAGCUCUUUUAGAAUUUGUCUGGCAAAUUUUCUGGUUUUUACCAGUAAACCU